AUGUCUCUUUGUAUCAUGUUAACAGUCCUUGUGUUUCUACAGUCUUUCUGCAACUGUGGAAAUGCACUUUUUUGGUUUAUACUUUCUACGAACUUUCCAAACUAUAAGGCCCAAUCUUACAGUUUGAGCCUUGUGGAUGGACCCUUAUGCGAGUGCAGAGAUCCACUGAAAUCAAAGGGAGUCCACCCAUGCAGGCUGAUUUUCCUGUUGGCAAGAGGAGGAAGAGCCACACCAAGCAUCACCUUCAGGAACAAGCAAUAUAAGUACUAUAAUGAGAUGGGUCUUUUCAGAGUCUAUAAUUGGUGACAAGAUAUGGCAGCUUCCUAUCAGACAACGAUGUACAACACAGAGCUUAUUAAUGAGGAUGGAGCAUCAUAGUCAAAAAGCUUUCCAAUGACUACUAGAUAGGAGAAUAUUAUAUAUACUGUACAUUGUUACUAUGCCCAAUAUCUCCAAUUUGCAUCAUAAAACCUUUAUGUAGGCCAAUUCAAGAUAAUCCAGAAUGGGAUCUUGUUCCCCCUUAGAUGGAUUAUCAGUAGUGUGAACUGCAAUCCAUCAUUCCUGAUCCCAGCUCUCACUCACAGCAGCAACAAUCAUCUAAACUUGCAGAUCUGUUCAAUUUAAUUGGGUUAGUUUAGUAACCCUCCCUGUAUUAAAGUCAACCUGGAAAGAGAUGUAAUAUUUUCACAGUUAUGAAGACCUAGAAACUAGCCAUAGUAAGAUUUGAUUGUGGAUCAAGAAAUAGGAUUUUCAUCAUGUUAAGAACUCUUCAAGGAAAUAUAUAUGGAACAAAUAAUAACAUAAAAUUAUUAACAAUGAGACCUGCAAAGAUAUUGGCAAAGCAAUAAGCAAUCUGACUUUACUAGCUAUGUUGGAAUCUGUUACCUAAUUUGUUUUGUUUUAGUUUUGUUUUGAGGUUUUUUUGGUUUUGUUUUGUUUUUUAUAGUUGGGAAAAGGCACUUUUUCAGCAACAAGCAAGAAUACUUGAAUGAACAGACUUUUACAUAAGACAGAAAAGCCCUGUCUCUUAACACUUUUAAAUAAAAAAAUCAGAUUUUUAAGAUUGACUUUGAAG
This 1075-nucleotide long non-coding RNA is filed under the name Chrysemys picta bellii (western painted turtle). Its description in RNAcentral is "lncRNA (ENSCPBG00000010611.1)". Lineage: Eukaryota; Metazoa; Chordata; Testudines; Emydidae. The record is from RNAcentral.